This 492-nucleotide ribosomal RNA is filed under the name uncultured bacterium. RNAcentral's name for it is "partial 16S ribosomal RNA". It matches the Rfam family "Bacterial small subunit ribosomal RNA", at positions 30 to 507 of the family's 1533-position model. The record is from RNAcentral.
AUUGAACGCUGGCGGCAUGCUUUACACAUGCAAGUCGAACGGUAACAGGCCUUCGGGUGCUGACGAGUGGCGAACGGGUGAGUAAUGCAUCGGAACGUGCCCAGAGGUGGGGGAUAACGCAGCGAAAGCUGUGCUAAUACCGCAUGUGAUCUGAGGAUGAAAGCGGGGGACCAAGCAGCAAUGUUUGGCCUCGCGCCUCUGGAGCGGCCGAUGUCAGAUUAGGUAGUUGGUGGGGUAAAGGCCUACCAAGCCGACGAUCUGUAGCUGGUCUGAGAGGACGACCAGCCACACUGGGACUGAGACACGGCCCAGACUCCUACGGGAGGCAGCAGUGGGGAAUUUUGGACAAUGGGCGCAAGCCUGAUCCAGCAAUGCCGCGUGCGGGAAGAAGCCCUUCGGGUUGUAAACCGCUUUUGUACGGAACGAAAAGGCUCUGGCUAAUACCUGGGGCUGAUGACGGUACCGUAAGAAUAAGCACCGGCUAACUACGUG